UACGGAAGGUGCAAGCGUUAAUCGGAAUUACUGGGCGUAAAGCGCGCGUAGGCGGUUUGAUAAGUCGGAUGUGAAAGCCCUGAGCUUAACUUGGGAAUUGCAUUCGAUACUGUCAAACUAGAGUAUGUUAGAGGGAAGUGGAAUUCCGGGUGUAGCGGUGAAAUGCGUAGAUAUCCGGAGGAACACCAAUGGCGAAGGCAACUUCCUGGGACAAUACUGACGCUGAGGUACGAAAGCGUGGGGAGCAAACAGG
This 253-nucleotide ribosomal RNA is filed under the name uncultured bacterium. Its description in RNAcentral is "partial 16S ribosomal RNA". It matches the Rfam family "Bacterial small subunit ribosomal RNA", at positions 524 to 776 of the family's 1533-position model. The record is from RNAcentral.